UGGGAGCGAAGCGGUAACUGGGUGGCUGCUACAGGAUCCCUAGCUGCUUGAGUUUCCCUGUCGGGCCUCCUGUCAGCGGCGUAGCGGGGAAAGUAGAAGAUGUCUGAAUAUAUUCGGGUAACAGAAGAUGAAAAUGACGAGCCCAUUGAAAUACCUUCAGAAGACGAUGGGACUGUGCUGCUGUCCACUGUUACAGCCCAGUUUCCGGGCGCGUGUGGGCUGCGCUAUCGGAAUCCGGUGUCUCAGUGCAUGCGAGGCGUGCGACUGGUGGAGGGGAUCCUGCACGCCCCGGACAACGGCUGGGGGAAUCUGGUGUACGUUGUCAACUAUCCCAAAGAUAACAAGAGGAAAAUGGAUGAGACGGAUGCCUCAUCAGCGGUGAAAGUGAAGAGAGCAGUCCAGAAAACAUCCGACCUAAUAGUGCUGGGUCUCCCGUGGAAAACGACUGAGCAGGACCUGAAAGAGUAUUUCAGUACCUUUGGGGAGGUCCUCAUGGUCCAGGUCAAGAAAGAUAUUAAAACCGGUCAUUCAAAAGGGUUUGGCUUUGUUCGAUUUACGGAAUACGAAACCCAGGUGAAGGUCAUGUCACAGCGACACAUGAUAGACGGACGGUGGUGUGACUGUAAACUCCCUAAUUCCAAGCAAAGCCCAGAUGAGCCUCUGAGAAGCAGAAAGGUGUUUGUCGGGCGUUGUACAGAGGACAUGACCGCCGAUGAGUUGCGGCAGUUCUUUUGCCAGUACGGAGAAGUGGUAGAUGUCUUCAUUCCCAAGCCGUUCAGGGCUUUUGCCUUUGUUACAUUUGCAGAUGAUCAGGUUGCCCAGUCUCUUUGUGGAGAGGACUUGAUCAUUAAAGGAAUCAGCGUACACAUAUCCAAUGCUGAACCUAAGCACAAUAGCAAUAGACAGUUAGAAAGAAGUGGAAGAUUCGGUGGUAAUCCGGGUGGCUUUGGGAAUCAGGGUGGAUUUGGUAACAGUAGAGGGGGGGGAGCUGGCUUGGGAAACAAUCAAGGCAGUAACAUGGGUGGGGGGAUGAACUUCGGAGCAUUUAGCAUUAACCCAGCAAUGAUGGCUGCAGCCCAGGCAGCCCUGCAGAGCAGCUGGGGCAUGAUGGGCAUGUUAGCCAGUCAGCAGAACCAGUCAGGCCCAUCAGGUAACAAUCAGAGCCAAGGCAACAUGCAGAGGGAGCCGAAUCAGGCCUUUGGUUCUGGAAAUAACUCUUAUAGUGGUUCUAAUUCAGGUGCAGCAAUUGGUUGGGGAUCAGCUUCAAAUGCAGGGUCAGGCAGUGGUUUUAAUGGAGGCUUCGGCUCAAGCAUGGAUUCUAAACCUUCUAGCUGGGGAAUGUAGACAGUGGGUGACGGUUGUAUAGACUGGUGGGAAUUCAAAUUUUUCUAAACUCAUGGUAAGUAUAUUGUAAAAUACAUAUGUACUGAGAAUUUUCAAAAUUUGGUUGUUCAGUGUGGAGUAUAUUCAGCAGUAUUUUUGACAUUUUUCUUUAGAAAAAGAGGAAGAGCUAAAGGAAUUUUAUAAGUUUUGUUACAUAAAGGGUUGCAAUAUUGAGUGUUUGAAAGUGAACUGCUGUUUGCCUGAUGGGUAAACCGACACACUACAAUUGAUAUCAAAGGUUUCUCCUGUAAUAUUUUAUCCCUGGACUCGUCAAGUGAAUUCUUUGCAUGUUCAAAAUGGAAACCAUUAAUUAGAACUACAUUCUUUUCUGCUUGUUUUAAUUUGAACCCCACCAUAUGGAUUUCUUCCUUAGGAAUAUCUCCUUUUUGGAGAUCACGGUGUCACAGUGUUUGGUUCUUUUGUUUUUGUUUUUUUAACACUUGUCUCCCUUCAUAUGCAAAAGUACAAUAUGAAGCCUUCAUUUAAUCUCUGCAGUUCAUCUCAUUUCAAAUGUUUAUGGAAGAAGCACUUCAUUGAAAGUAGUGCUGUAAAUACUCUGCCAUAGGAAUACUUCUGUCCACAUGCUUUCUCAUUCAAGAUUUGGUCAUCACACUGCACGGGCCGCGUCUCUGACGCCCUGAAUGCAAAGAAUUCAUAGCAGUUAAUUCCCCUUUUUUGACCCUUUUGAGAUGGAACUUUCAUAAAGUUUCUUGGCAAUAGUUUAUUUUGCUUCAAAUAAACUUAUUUCAAAAGUUGUCUCAAGUCAAAUGGAUUCAUCACCUGUCAUGCAUUGACACCUGAUACCCAGACUUAAUUGCUAUUUGUUCUUGCAUUGUCUAAAGUGAAAAAUUUUUUUUUCUUUUUAAAUCUGGUUUUUAAUAAGUCUGGGUGACCACACCUAAAAUGGUAAGCAGUACCCUCCAGUUUUUUUCUCAGUGCCUCUGUGCAUUUGGGUGAUGUUCUAUUUACAUGGCCUGGGUAAACUUCCAUCAGGAAAGCCACCAUGCCUUCUAAAAGUCUUAUUUGGGGGAGUGGGCAAAACAGUGUUAAUGAUUCUUAAAUGCUUUGUAGCAAAGCACAUCAAUUGAAAAGAAAGGAAUAUCAGCGCCUUUUUAGUUUGGGAUUUGAAAAGUGGAAUUAAUUGCAAUAGGGAUAAAGUAGAAGAAACCACAAAUUACCUUGUGCCUGAAAUCCAUUAAGAAGCUUGAUAGCUUUAAGAACUAGCAGGGUGGUGGGCUGUCUGUGGACAUGUUAAAUGAAAUGGGCUUCGUCCUCCAAAGGCAGGGGAAGUGUUGAAUAAAACUGUUCACAACACUGAGAUUAGAUUCUCACGAUGCAUUGUUAAGUAUGUAAAAGCAAUAAUAUAUUGAUUCUCUAUUGUACUUUUUAUGUAACUACUACGAUGAGAGUUGAGCUUGUUUUCUAAUGGACGAAUGUAAAAUUUCUGUGUUGAUAAUUUGCCGAAUGCCCUUAUCUAAUUAGAGUAUGAUAAAUAGGUUUUUUGCAAGAUAGGUGUUUUAACUUUUAUAAGUCAUCCUUUAGACUUGUGAUCGCCACAUUGUUUCAUUGUCCAGUUUUCUUCUGUAAAAGGAUCUUGCGUUGUUUAAAUUUUUUUUCUGCAUCUAAGUUGCAUGAUUUCCAAACCCUGUACCAUCUGAAUUUUGCAUUUUAGCACUUGCGCUAUUACUCAGCAGCAGUAACAUGGUAACACUUAAAAUGCUAUCGGGGACCUCCAAAGACUAAACUGGCGAGCCUUCAAGGAGCCCGGGGUAAGUUCACUCGUCGAUGGCAUGGUUUUCGUCCCUGUUUACACGUGUGUAACUCUAGUUACUGGUCUCAGAAGGCCUUUGGUGUCUGGCAGCCUUCUGCUAACAUGUCUGUGGUAAAUACCUUACUUAGCUAUGGGGAUUUAAUUCUGCCCUAAGUUUUUUUUUUUUUUUUUGGUUUUCUUUUUUGAAGUUCAGAAGUAAACUAUUUGGCAAAGAUUUGUUUUUAAA
RNA transcript from Artibeus jamaicensis (Jamaican fruit-eating bat), 3380 nucleotides. It is a transcript of the gene named TAR DNA binding protein, with no coding region annotated. The record is from RefSeq and is a predicted model, not a curated record. Lineage: Eukaryota; Metazoa; Chordata; Mammalia; Chiroptera; Phyllostomidae. The transcript is spliced from 7 exons.